AAUCAAGUUAAGAUGAGGUCAUGAGGGUAGGCUGUAAGCCAGUAUGACUUAUGCCUUUAUGACAGGAGGAAAACAUCAUAGAAAGACAGAGACACACAGGGAGAAUGAGAAGUGACAACAGAGGCAGGGAUUGGAGCAAUGCAGUUGCAAGCUAAGGAAAGCCAAGUAUUGAUGUUCACCACCAGAAACUAGGAAGAGGCAGGAAAGGAGUCUACUCAGAGUUCUAGAGGGAGCACGGUCUCACUAACACCUUGAUUUCAGACUGCUAGCCUCCAGAUUAUGAGAGAAUGAACUUUUGUUGUUUUAAGCCAGCUAGCUGUAGUACAUUAUUAUGGAAGCUUCGGCAAACUAAUACAGUAUGUACCACACCUUCUGAUAUACUACAUAUUUUACAUGUUUGUUGUAUUUAUCGUCUGUCUCCCCAACACGGUAGAGUAAACUCCAAGGAGGACACACCAUUUCUGGCUCCCUAGUCCAUACUGCUCUGAUCUCUGCUGGGUUCCACUCGAUUCGACUUCUGCCUAGGAUUAAUUGAUCCUAAUGCUUCUGGAUGAACCUGCAGAGGAAUUUCAUGAAGAUAUGAACUGAAAUCAAAUCAAGAAGUGGAAAUUCUACCUUCUAAGGAUAGUGGAAGAAUAAUUUGGAAUUGUAUAAAAUUUGGAGACGACAGACUACAGUUCUGUAAAGGAAGUCUUCCAUUUGGACUCCCAGAUAAUACUGCCCAUGUGCCCAGAUCACAUAGUGUGAAGGGUUAGCUUUCGAAUUAGAGAGUUUGAACUAGCAAGUAGCCUUUCCCUCUUCUAUCUCGUAUUGGCCCCAAACCUUGCAAUUCUUGACAUUUAUACAAGAGGUGCUCAUCACACCAUUCUAUGAGCUCGAUGCUCUUGAUUGGCACUUCCCCAGAAAAGACCCUCCCUGGCAGGUGCAGAUGGUGUGGAUCCCAGCUUUUCCUCAAAUUCUCAGCAUGGCCACACUUCCAGAAUCAGUCUCAUUACCCUCAGACUAUGCACACAAGCUGGGCAAUGGACAUCUUCCGAAGUUUGAGUCUUCACUCAUCAGAGCCACUGUUCCAAGCAUCUGGCUUCUGAAAACCUCAAAUUAUUUUCUUUCUUUCUCCAAUCCUAGAGAUGACAGCAGCUUCUUGCAAUAAUUAGCAUAGUGUUCAUUUUUAGGCGUUUCAGUUCUCCAGCAUCUGUUUAACUAUUUCCCUACAUUAAAAUCUCUUGGUUGAA
Long non-coding RNA from Neofelis nebulosa (Clouded leopard), 1232 nucleotides. RefSeq lists it as uncharacterized. The transcript has 3 exons. NCBI's taxonomy places the organism in Eukaryota, Metazoa, Chordata, Mammalia, Carnivora, Felidae. The record is from RefSeq and is a predicted model, not a curated record.